This 425-nucleotide unclassified non-coding RNA is filed under the name Lotus sanguineus. RNAcentral describes it as "partial external transcribed spacer". Lineage: Eukaryota; Viridiplantae; Streptophyta; Magnoliopsida; Fabales; Fabaceae. The record is from RNAcentral.
UGUAUGAGUUGUGWUUGGGWUGUUUCUUGCUGGCUGGCUCCAUGCUCUUGCAUCGAACGGUUGGCAUGCAAUCCUGUCUCAUUCUUUGUUGCCGCGGUGCGUGAUUGUGGUUCCUGUGUUGCCUACCUCUCGAAUGGUAUUCGCGUGGCUCGUCGGAUUUUGUCCAUCCAGUUCUCCUCCUCCGAGGGGUUCUGGGGGAUUCCAAAGCGAUGCGCAUGCUCCACGGUAGUUGAUCGCUAUUGAAGCAAUCGUGGCGCAUGCGUGCUCGUUGUUCUCUCGGAUGCGGUGCAUGAGAUGAAACAUGGGAAAUUUUCCCAUUCAGUCCCUUUAAUCUCGGUUGCCUUGAAUGACACUUGCCUUCGUGCUCGCUUGCUCUCCAUUCGUGGUCGCAUGCGGGCACCGAUGAGCAAAGUUGUUAACGGAUG